UGUUCGCCUGGGAACUACGAGCGUUAGCUUGAAACCCAAAGGACUUGGCAGUGCUUUAUACCCAUCUAGAGGAGCCUGUUCUAGAACCGAUAAUCCCCGUUAAACCUUACCUCCUCUAGCUCAUUCAGUCUAUAUACCGCCGUCGUCAGCUCACCCAGUGAUGGUCCAAAAGUGGGCAAAAUCAACCAAUGCUCAAAACGACAGGUCGAGGUGUAGCAUACGAGGAGGAAUGAGAUGGGCUACAUUCUCUAUUUCAGAGUAUACGGAUGAUGGUUUGAAACAACUGUUGGAAGGAGGAUUUAGUAGUAAGAAGUAAAUAGAGUGUACUUCUGAAAGCGGCCAUGAAGCAAGUACACACCGCCCGUCACCCUCCUGCAGUCAA
RNAcentral lists this ribosomal RNA (382 nucleotides) under Arcos erythrops. RNAcentral describes it as "partial 12S ribosomal RNA". It matches the Rfam family "Bacterial small subunit ribosomal RNA", at positions 866 to 1414 of the family's 1533-position model. The record is from RNAcentral. Lineage: Eukaryota; Metazoa; Chordata; Actinopteri; Blenniiformes; Gobiesocidae.